CAACAAACGAAAGGAGGUGAUCCAGUGUCUCACUCUCAUUCUCGGACGGCCGCCGGGACCUGGGUCAUCACCGCCGCAGCGCUGGCGUGAGCUGACCCGGACUGACGGUCCUCGGCACCGACCGAGGUUUGACGAGGGGAAGGGCUGUCCGAGAGGGCAGCCCU
Molecule: small RNA, 164 nt
Filed under: Tistlia consotensis
Lineage: Bacteria; Pseudomonadati; Pseudomonadota; Alphaproteobacteria; Rhodospirillales; Rhodovibrionaceae
Description: caulobacter sRNA CC2171
Rfam family: caulobacter sRNA CC2171
Source: RNAcentral